GUCCGGUCCCGGUCCUUGAAAAUCAAGGUUUCCGGUCCCGGUCCGGAUCAAGUCCAAACCCGGGGUUUUCAGGUCUGGACCUGAAACCCGUUAAAAAUGCGUUUUUUAUAAAAAAAAAAAAAAAAUCCCAAAUUUCAAAAGAAGUCAGUUUCAUUUUUGUUAACACACUAACCCUAACUCACUUCUCUCUCUCUCUCUCUCUCUCUCAGCCGACAAGCAAACACGACAACACCCACUCCCUCCAGACCACCGCCCAGGCGCCCAGACACAAGUCGGAAGUCGCCACCGCCCACCAGACGUCCAGACCAGCAGUGACUACACGCUGUACAUCCUGCAACGACGAGUCGACGACUACACCCUGCAUCUGCAUCUCACUGAUCAACAAGAACCACGGAUUCUUACUCUUGCAAUAUUGUGUAUAAUUAUAUUGAAGAUGGAGAGCUCUCAAUCCAAAAGAUCUGCUGCUUUUUCUCAAGAAAUGCCACAGCCACUUUUUGAAAAGGAUAUGGAAGAAUUGCAAUCUACUUUGCCUCCAGAUAAGAAGUUAAAAGCGGGGCGGGAAUACAUAUGGAACAGAAAAAGUAAGAGGAUAUGGAAGAAAAUUUGAAAGAGUUACAAGAAAUGGAGAAAGAGGUGCAACAUGAUGUAUCUAACGAUGGAGACGAUGAAGUUGUUUUCGUUGACUCAUUAGUGUGAAUCACGCAAUCAAAGGGAAAGCAACUCGCCAAAAUUCAAGUUGUCUUUGGAUAAUUUAUGUAUUUCUAGUAUUUGAGACUUAGAGACUUUAUGUAAUUUAAUGAAUUAUUUGUUAUAUUUGAGACUUAUAGAUUUUAUGUAGUUUUUGUCAUUGAUA
Chenopodium quinoa (quinoa) is the source of this 853-nucleotide long non-coding RNA. RefSeq lists it as uncharacterized. Lineage: Eukaryota; Viridiplantae; Streptophyta; Magnoliopsida; Caryophyllales; Amaranthaceae. The transcript has 4 exons. The record is from RefSeq and is a predicted model, not a curated record.